Molecule: unclassified non-coding RNA, 261 nt
Filed under: rhizosphere metagenome
Description: partial ribosomal RNA internal transcribed spacer region
Source: RNAcentral
GUAGGUGAACCUGCGGAAGGAUCAUUAUUGAUUUAAAGAUGUGCUGGCACUCCCUCACAGGUUUGCAUGUGCACUCUAAAAUCUCCUUCUCUUACCCCACUGUGCACACUCCAGUAGGCAAGCAAGUCCACAGAGCACCUGUGAAUUCUCAUUUGCCUAUGUUUUUAUCAAACACCAAUAACAUGUAAGAAUGAUCUAUGUAGUAAGCUUUUGACAAGCUGAAAUCUAAUACAACUUUCAACAAUGGAUCUCUUGGUUCUC